This 448-nucleotide ribosomal RNA is filed under the name uncultured bacterium. Its description in RNAcentral is "bacterial SSU rRNA". It matches the Rfam family "Bacterial small subunit ribosomal RNA", at positions 330 to 792 of the family's 1533-position model. The record is from RNAcentral.
ACCAGACUCCUACGGGAGGCAGCAGUGGGGAAUAUUGGGCAAUGGGCGCAAGCCUGACCCAGCAACGCCGCGUGAAGGAAGAAGGCUUUCGGGUUGUAAACUUCCUUUGUCAGGGACGAAGCAAGUGACGGUACCUGACGAAUAAGCCACGGCUAACUACGUGCCAGCAGCCGCGGUAAUACGUAGGUGGCAAGCGUUAUCCGGAUUUACUGGGUGUAAAGGGCGUGUAGGCGGGACUGCAAGUCAGAUGUGAAAUCCGGGGGCUCAACCUGUGGCCUGCAUUUGAAACUGUUUUUCUUGAGUACUGGAGAGGCAGACGGAAUUCCUAGUGUAGCGGUGAAAUGCGUAGAUAUUAGGAGGAACACCAGUGGCGAAGGCGGUCUGCUGGACAGCAACUGACGCUGAGGCGCGAAAGCGUGGGGAGCAAACAGGAUUAGAUACCCCAGUA